CCUACGGGUGGCAGCAGUGAGGAAUAUUGGUCAAUGGCCGGAAGGCUGAACCAGCCAUGCCGCGUGAAGGUCAGUGCCCUAUGGGCGUUAAACUUCUUUUGUGCGGGAGCAAUAAUGGUCACGUGUGGCCAGACGAGAGUACCGUACGAAUAAGCAUCGGCUAACUCCGUGCCAGCAGCCGCGGUAAUACGGGGGAUGCAAGCGUUAUCCGGAUUUAUUGGGUUUAAAGGGUUCGGAGGCGGGGAGGUAAGUCAGCGGUGAAAUGCCCCCGCGCAACGGGGUGAAGUGCCAUUGAUACUGCCUGGCUGGAAUGCGGAUGCCGUGGGAGGAAUGUGUGGUGUAGCGGUGAAAUGCAUAGAUAUCACACAGAACACCGAUUGCGAAGGCAUCUCACGAAUCCGCGAUUGACGCUGAUGCACGAAAGCGUGGGUAUCAAACAGGAUUAGAUACCCCAGUAGUC
RNAcentral lists this ribosomal RNA (460 nucleotides) under uncultured bacterium. RNAcentral's name for it is "partial 16S ribosomal RNA". It matches the Rfam family "Bacterial small subunit ribosomal RNA", at positions 338 to 795 of the family's 1533-position model. The record is from RNAcentral.